This 1866-nucleotide ribosomal RNA is filed under the name Myxobolus sp. RNAcentral describes it as "partial 18S rRNA". It matches the Rfam family "Eukaryotic small subunit ribosomal RNA", at positions 21 to 1664 of the family's 1831-position model. The record is from RNAcentral. Lineage: Eukaryota; Metazoa; Cnidaria; Myxozoa; Bivalvulida; Myxobolidae.
GCGUAUACGCUCUUUUUAAAGAUUUAGCCAUGCAAAUUUAAGUUCAAACAUUUUAAAUGUGAGACUGUGGACGGCUCAGUAAAUCAGUUAUAAUCUGCUCGAUUGUCAAGGUUAUUGGAUAACCGUGGGAAAUCUAGAGCUAAUACAUGCAGAUGUGGGGCAACUCACGGCAUUUAUUAGAACAUUACCGAUUGAACGGGGGUAACAGCUCGUUCAGGUUGAAUCUAGAUAACUAUGCAGACCGUAUGGCCUUGUGCUGACGNCGUUUCGAUUGAGUUUCUGCCUUAUCAGCUUGGCGCGUGCGCAAGGUGCACGUGAGCCGUUGACGAGUAAGGAAAUGUGGGUUUGAUUCCUGAGAGGGAGCCUGAGAAACGGCUACCACAUCCAAGGAAGGCAGCAGGCGCGAAAAUUACUCAAUCCAGACAAUGGGAAGUGGUGACGAAAAGUACCGAAUCUGACCCUAUGGGUCAGAGUUUGGAAUGGACGAUACGUAAAAUCUAUCGAGAACUCAACUAGAGGGCUAGUCUGGUGCCAGCAGCCGCGGUAAUUCCAGCUCUAGUAGCGUAUCGCAAAGUUCUGCNGCCUUAAAACGUUCGUAGUUGGANNNNNNNNNNNNNNNNNNNNNNNNNNNNNNNNNNNNNNNNNNNNNNNNNNNNNNNNNNNNUCAGGCGUAGAAGGAGUCGUUAAUCGGUCCGGUAGCCGCGCGAGUAAUUCACCGAGAUACCUGACCUUAGUCGCGUGGUGGUGUCUGCGGAGUGUGCCUUGAGUAAAUCAGAGUGCUUAAUGCAGCGUUACGCUUGAAUGUUGAUAGCAUGGAACGAACAAUAGUGUAUGGUGUGUGCUGGUCUCGGUGUGCCGUUCCUUGUGAGCGACGCACUGCAGCACACGACACCGACCACCAAGUUACGGAUUGUUGGUUCCGUAUUGGGGUACUGAUUAAGAGGAGCGGUUGGGGGCAUUGGUAUUUGGCAGCGAGAGGUGAAAUUCUUAGACCUGCCAAGGACUAACAAAUGCGAGGCAUCUGUCCAGACCGUAUCCAUUGAUCAAGAGCGAAAGUGCGGGGGUCGAAAGAAAGUCAGAUACCUUCCUAGUCCGCACCCUAAACUAUUCCAACUCGGGAUCAGUUUGGAGCGCGUUCCAAGCUCGAGAUUGGUCCCCCUGGGAAACCUAAAGUUUUUCGGUUGCGGGGGNNGUAUGGUCGCAAGGCUUGAAACCUUAAAGGAAUUGACGGAAGGGCACCACCAGGGGUGGACGUGCGGCUUAAUUUGACUCAACACGGGAAAACUUACCUGGUCCGGACAUUGAAAGGAAUCACUGGCUGAAGCCCAUUGAUAAUACAAUGGCAAGUGGUGCAUGGCCGUUCCUUAGUACGUAGAGUGAUCCGUUUUCCUUCAUUGAUUUAACGUGCGCAAUCUCAGUCUCCAGUUGACGAGUCAGAGAGGACCGUCGGCCCAACUGGUUUCUGGCAACAGGAGCCUCUUUUGUCGGCGUCGAAGGUCAAUGUCGAUAGGAANUUUGGCAGUUGUGCCGGUUACGCUCGAUGUGGCUGUUGGGCUCCAACCGUCGGCAUUCCUCUGGCCUGCAGAGAGCCGCCCGCAAGGGAGGUGCUUUGUAUCCUGGAGAGACGUCGGAACAUAUCCAAAAUCCGAGAAAGUGAGGCUAUAACAGGUCUGUGAUGCCCUUAGAUGUUCAGGGCUGCACGCGCGCUACAAUGCGACGACAGCGAGUGUCUGCAUCGAAAAGAUGUGGGUAAGCUUGUAAUCGUCGCCGUGAAGGGGAUUGAACGUUUGUAAAUACGUCAUGAAAGAGGAAUCCCUAGUAGAUGCGAUUCAUGAGAUCGCAUCGAUUAAGUCCCUGCCCUUUGUA